This 403-nucleotide ribosomal RNA is filed under the name uncultured bacterium. Its description in RNAcentral is "bacterial SSU rRNA". It matches the Rfam family "Bacterial small subunit ribosomal RNA", at positions 29 to 449 of the family's 1533-position model. The record is from RNAcentral.
AACGAACGCUGGCGGCGCGUCUUAAACAUGCAAGUCGAACGAUCUGUAGCAAUACAGGGAGUGGCGGACGGGUGAGGAACACGUAGGAAUCUACCUUGAAGAGCGGGACAACUUUGGGAAACCGGGGCUAAUACCGCAUAGUACAGAGAUGUUAAAGGGCUAGCAAUAGUCGCUUCGAGAUGAGCCUGCGGUCUAUCAGCUUGUUGGUGAGGUAAUGGCUCGCCAAGGCUACGACGGAUAGCCGGUCUGAGAGGAUGAUCGGCCACACUGGCACUGAGACACGGGCCAGACUCCUACGGGAGGCAGCAGUUAAGAAUCUUGCGCAAUGGGGAAACCCUGACGCAGCGACGCCGCGUGAAGGAUGAAGGCUUUCGGGUUGUAAACUUCGGUAGACUGGGAAGAA